AUGGCUGAGGAUGAGGACAAUGGGCGUUUGUAUAUGGGGCUUGACCUUGCUUUUGACAAGGAUCAUCGUGCUCGUGCUAUCGAGCGUGGAGAGAAACUUGUUGUCGUGCGCUUUAGGAGCCACACGACGAAAAACCAGAUGCAAUAUGACGUGCGCUACGAGCCGUACUUUGAGCAUGCCGGGCUGCUACCGUUUGUUCUUCAGUUCAAGCGCGUGCCGCCUUCGAUGUGCCAUUCAGCUCUCACCGCCCUCGUCGAUCGUUGGCGGCCGGAGACACACAGCUUCCAUCUCCCUUGUGGCGAGCUGACGGUGACGUUGGAGGACUUUGCCGUGAUCACCGGGCUUCCCAUUGACGGCAAGGCUCUCACUGGACGAGUGGACAGCAAGAACUGGCAUGCAAGGGUUACCGCUCUCAUCGGUGACUGCUCGGCCUCUCUUAGUGCCCAGGGAAGGACUGACAACAGGACAAACGGUGUCCCAUUCCCUUGGCUCCAGCAUCAUAGGUCGGGAUGCCCUGCAGAAGCUAAUGAGGAGACCGUGGAGCAGUAUGCUCGAGCGUACGUGUGGCACCUCCUAUCACAGGUGGUCUUUGGAGACUACUCUGGAGACGUUGCUCCUUGGAUGUUUCUUGACUUCUUGGCCGACUGGGACGAGAAGUACAGAUGGGGGUCUGCUGGGCUCGCCUACUUAUACCGUCAGCUCGACGUCACAUGUAGGAAAACCACCUCGAAGCCAUGCAUGGGUGGGUGUAUUUGGGGCCUCUCGGUCUGGAUGUGGGAGCGUUUGCCGGUUGGGCGUCCUGAAAAGCAUCCUUCACCGCACGUGUGGGUAGGCCUUAAUGAAGAUGAUGAUGUUUUUCGACUCCCCACCGUGGCAUUCUCUUGGGACCGGGUUAGAAUUUUUGGAAGCAAGAACAAGUCCUUGUACAAGAAUUUCAUCAACGAGAUGGACAGCCUCACAAAUCGUCAGGUUAACUGGAGGCCUUAUGAGGCAAAUAGGGGUUUCACACUGAACCAGAUGUGCACUAGGGACUCACAUCUUUGGCGGAUCAGGUGCCCUCUCAUAUGCAUUUAUGAUGUCGAGUGGCAUCUACCACAUCGAGUGGCCAUGCAAUUUGGUAUGAGGCAACGCACCCCACCGGAGCCAGCAAGCACGGGUGGACUUGAGCUUCAUAAGUGA
This 1179-nucleotide ribosomal RNA is filed under the name Triticum aestivum (bread wheat). RNAcentral's name for it is "partial small subunit ribosomal RNA". Lineage: Eukaryota; Viridiplantae; Streptophyta; Magnoliopsida; Poales; Poaceae. The record is from RNAcentral.